RNAcentral lists this ribosomal RNA (502 nucleotides) under uncultured bacterium. Its description in RNAcentral is "partial 16S ribosomal RNA". It matches the Rfam family "Bacterial small subunit ribosomal RNA", at positions 28 to 523 of the family's 1533-position model. The record is from RNAcentral.
GAUGAACGCUAGCGGCAGGCCUAACACAUGCAAGUCGAGGGGCAGCGCAGAAACAGCAAUGUUUUGGUGGCGACCGGCGGACGGGUGCGUAACGCGUAUGCAACCUACCUUUAACAGGGGGAUAACGGAGAGAAAUUUCCACUAAUACCCCAUAACAUCGAUCAAGGCAUCUUGAUUGGUUGAAAACUCCGGUGGUUAAAGAUGGGCAUGCGUUGUAUUAGGUAGUUGGUGAGGUAAUGGCUCACCAAGCCUACGAUACAUAGGGGGACUGGGAGGUUAGCCCCCCAACCGGGUACUGAGACACGGACCAGACUCCUACGGGAGGCAGCAGUGAGGAAUAUUGGUAAAUGGGGGCAACCCUGAACCAGCCAUGCCGCGUGCAGGAAGACGGCUCUAUGAGUUGUAAACUGCUUUUAAACAGGGAUAAAGCACAGUAUGUAUACUGUGUUGAAGGUACUGUAAGAAUAAGGAUCGGCUAACUCCGUGCCAGCCGCCGCCGUAA